This 529-nucleotide ribosomal RNA is filed under the name uncultured bacterium. Its description in RNAcentral is "bacterial SSU rRNA". It matches the Rfam family "Bacterial small subunit ribosomal RNA", at positions 17 to 518 of the family's 1533-position model. The record is from RNAcentral.
UUAUGGCUCAGGACGAACGCUGGCGGCGUGCCUAAUACAUGCAAGUCGAACGGUCUUUCUAUGGAAGCUUGCUUCCACUGAGAAGAUAGUGGCGAACGGGUGAGUAACACGUGGGUAACCUGCCCAUAAGAGGGGGGAUAACAUCCGGAAACGGGUGCUAAUACCGCAUAGUUUUCUUGAUCGCAUGAUUGAGAAAGGAAAGACGGCCUUUGUGCUGUCGCUUAUGGAUGGACCCGCGGCGUAUUAGUUAGUUGGUGAGGUAACGGCUCACCAAGACGAUGAUACGUAGCCGACCUGAGAGGGUGAUCGGCCACAUUGGGACUGAGACACGGCCCAAACUCCUACGGGAGGCAGCAGUAGGGAAUCUUCCGCAAUGGACGAAAGUCUGACGGAGCAACGCCGCGUGAGUGAAAGAAGGUUUUCGGAUCGUAAAACUCUGUUGUCAGAGAAGAACAAGUUGGAGAGUAACUGCUCCAGCCUUGACGGUAUCUGACCAGAAAGCCACGGCUAACUACGUGCCAGCCGCCGC